Molecule: ribosomal RNA, 253 nt
Filed under: uncultured bacterium
Lineage: Bacteria
Description: partial 16S ribosomal RNA
Rfam family: Bacterial small subunit ribosomal RNA
Source: RNAcentral
UACGUAGGGUGCAAGCGUUAAUCGGAAUUACUGGGCGUAAAGCGUGCGCAGGCGGUUUUGUAAGUCUGUCGUGAAAUCCCCGGGCUCAACCUGGGAAUUGCAUUGGAGACUGCAAGGCUAGAAUCUGGCAGAGGGGGGUAGAAUUCCACGUGUAGCAGUGAAAUGCGUAGAGAUGUGGAGGAACACCGAUGGCGAAGGCAGCCCCCUGGGUCAAGAUUGACGCUCAUGCACGAAAGCGUGGGGAGCAAACAGG